UGGGGUCUGCCGGACGCGUGUUCCUGCCACCAGGUGCCCGCUCCCCGCGAGGCCGGCUCAGGAGCAGGGUAAGUCUGGGACUGCCGUUCGGGCCUACCCAGCAGGUAAGUCUUAGGCCAUCGCCUGCAGCGUGGGCCCUGAGAGCAGCGCGACCCAAGAUUGCAUCAAACGUUUGCCCCGUCCUUGCAUAUGUGACUGGACGUGAAUGAUGCUUCAUUUUGGCACCCCCUUUCCCUGCUCAGGUAGAAUUUAAACAAUUGAAAAAAAUCCCUUCCCAAUCAGAAUACCAUCCACAGGACAAUGAAGAAAACUCAUCUUCAGUCCCCAACCACGAAAUGGUGGGGGGUGGGGAGGACUGGAAAAGGAGUAAGGGGAGAGGAAGGGUGAGCAGCUGCAAGAAGUUUUCACACCUCUCUGCCGUUCCUGGUAAACGCGCUCAUGUCCUGGGUAUGGAAGGGACUUAAGAGUUCAGGAAAGAUAAAAGUAACAGGCUGCUUCCCCACUCCCUCGCCCUCCCUUCCCCGCUGCUGGGUUAGGGAGGCUCCAUGGAGCUCCAGCACCCUAGAAGGAUCCGGUGAGGCGCGAGGCCUUGCGGGCGGAUGAACCCAUGGCGGGGUGGAAGGCGCCAACCUGCCCAAUCUGAGCCUGAGGCCUGCUGAGAAGCGUGGGGGCCUUGGGAUAGUUCCCGAAUGAGGAUGUGCGUUUCUAGCUUCUUUGCGCCCUCCUCUCCCAAAAAUCUGCUACCACAAUUCCACCCUGGAGGCGCGCCCCCAAGACUCCUUUGUCGCCCCAGGGGCGGGACCUGAGCUGUCGAUUGCAGGGGCCCUUCGUGACUCCAAAAGUCCUGGGCGCUGUCGCUCAUGAGUGCUGCACAACUGUCGCCCUCCAAAGCCACCUCCAUCCCUCACUGGGCUGGCCUCCUGAGCCUUCGGUGAGGACAUGGGGUUGCGAGUUGCCCGCCUGGGAGCUUGACAGCCUGACUGGAAAAGGGCUAAUUCGCUAACUUUCUGUGCAAAUCACUUGAGCUAAUUAUUUGAUCUGAAACAUGGUCAGGUAAAGGACCAUUGGCGGGCGUGGGGAGGGAGGCGUGGAAUCUUUCCCACACUUUUUGUCACCUUUCAACAAAAGCCACAACACACCCAAAUCCCUCUGGUCUGAAUGGGCUGGCUAGAACUGGGCUUCCCGGGACCAGGAGUGGGCCCCUAGAAGUUUCCCAGUUUGGGGUGGGGCCGGGGUUCCGGAGUCCAGAGCUGGGAGUCGGGUUCAGCGACCCGAGACGCUGGUUCUCCCAGACUCCCUUGCGCCGGGGCAGUGCGCGGGGGCGGCUCGGGUCCCUCCCGGGCCGGCGGGGACCCUCAGGCUCCCGGGGCGCCGCCCACCAGCCCGACCCGGCGGCGACUCCCAGGCCUGGAAGCCCCCAUUCUGCUCCCGCCCCGCCCCGGCCGGCCAGCGCAGGGCCCCUCAGGCCCGCGAUCUCCAGGCUCAAACGGCGAACAGGUCCCCGCAUCCGCCUGCCUUUGCACUUGGGGGUGGGGGAGCCACCUUGUGACGCCCCUUCUGCCUCUCACCAGCUUCCCCCUUUCUCCCCGUUCCGUACGGUUCCCCCUGGAGCCAGAAGGAAGCCCGGUGCCAGCCAGCCUUCCUGAAAAGACCAAGCCCGCGCCAUCCGGCUUCCUCCAGUGGACGCCUGCAGGACCCAGGAACACUGCAUCAACACUCUUGGCGGGGAUCUGGACAAGAAGACUCCUGUUUCAAGAAAAUACAAUCAUCUCUCAAAGGCUGUAAUUUAUAUGCAUUUUAAAACUCUCUAGGCAUUGAAAACCGCCCAAGUGUCCCAAAUAGAAGGGUAAAAUAUAAUCAGUCACUCAGUGUAAUAUUAUACAUCCUUUAAAAAUGUUAUUGGGAAAUGUUUUAUGAUCUGUAAGUCCAAGGAAUCUUCUCCCACCAUUUCUUUCUCCCCACUGUUCCCCCAUACCCACACUUCUUUGUUCCAAUUGGCAUGUAAAUUUGGUUUUCCCGCCAAAUGAGUCAGUCAUGAUGGUAACAUCAACUGAUUUGAACAGAUGUGUGUCAAUGUUACUUGGAAAACUAGAUGUCAAUAACCAGGGCCACAGAAAAAGGCAGUGGUUGCAACUCUGUAAAAAUGUAUGCAUGCACACAGACAAGGACUAAAGUGGAACCCCACACAGGAAAACAGUGGGCUGUACGCCAGUGCUGGGACAUUGAAUGACUGUAUGAUGCUUUUGAUUUCUGUUAAUACGGGCAACUGUCCAAUUAAAAACUCCUAAGUACUCUGCAGUGCAAAU
Chlorocebus sabaeus (green monkey) is the source of this 2306-nucleotide long non-coding RNA. RefSeq lists it as uncharacterized. Lineage: Eukaryota; Metazoa; Chordata; Mammalia; Primates; Cercopithecidae. The record is from RefSeq and is a predicted model, not a curated record.